AUUGAACGCUGGCGGCAUGCCUUACACAUGCAAGUCGAACGGCAGCGGGCCCUUCGGGGUGCCGGCGAGUGGCGAACGGGUGAGUAAUGCAUCGGAACGUACCCGGGAGAGGGGGAUAACCGGCCGAAAGGCUGGCUAAUACCGCAUGAACUCGGAAGAGCAAAGCGGGGGACCUUCGGGCCUCGCGCUCUCGGAGCGGCCGAUGUCCGAUUAGGCUAGUUGGUGGGGUAAAGGCCCACCAAGGCGACGAUCGGUAGCGGGUCUGAGAGGACGAUCCGCCACACUGGGACUGAGACACGGCCCAGACUCCUACGGGAGGCAGCAGUGGGGAAUCUUGGACAAUGGGCGCAAGCCUGAUCCAGCAAUGCCGCGUGGGUGAAGAAGGCCUUCGGGUUGUAAAGCCCUUUCGGCGGGGAAGAAAUCGGUCAGGCGAAUAGGCUGGCUGGAUGACGGUACCCGCAGAAGAAGCACCGGCUAACUACGUG
This 485-nucleotide ribosomal RNA is filed under the name uncultured bacterium. Its description in RNAcentral is "partial 16S ribosomal RNA". It matches the Rfam family "Bacterial small subunit ribosomal RNA", at positions 28 to 507 of the family's 1533-position model. The record is from RNAcentral.